Molecule: ribosomal RNA, 253 nt
Filed under: uncultured bacterium
Lineage: Bacteria
Description: partial 16S ribosomal RNA
Rfam family: Bacterial small subunit ribosomal RNA
Source: RNAcentral
UACAGAGACUGCGAGCGUUAUUCGGAUUCACUGGGCGUAAAGGGUGCGCAGGCGGCCAAGUGUGUUAGGCGUGAAAGCCCGAGGCUUAACCUCGGAAUUGCACCUAAAACUACUUGGCUAGAGUACUGGAGAGGGAAACGGAAUUCACGGUGUAGCAGUGAAAUGCGUAGAUAUCAAGUGGAACACCAGUGGCGAAGGCGAGUCUCUGGACAUUUCCUGACGCUGAGGCACGAAAGCCAGGGGAGCAAACGGG